This 492-nucleotide ribosomal RNA is filed under the name uncultured bacterium. Its description in RNAcentral is "partial 16S ribosomal RNA". It matches the Rfam family "Bacterial small subunit ribosomal RNA", at positions 28 to 507 of the family's 1533-position model. The record is from RNAcentral.
GAUGAACGCUGGCUACAGGCUUAACACAUGCAAGUCGAGGGGAAACGGCAUUGAGUGCUUGCACUGAAUGGACGUCGACCGGCGCACGGGUGAGUAACGCGUAUCCAACCUUCCCGUUACUGCGGGAUAACCUGCCGAAAGGCAGACUAAUACCGCAUGUUCUUCGAUGACGGCAUCAGAUUCGAAGCAAAGAUCCGUCGGUAACGGAGGGGGAUGCGUCUGAUUAGCUAGUUGGCGGGGCGACGGCCCACCAAGGCGACGAUCAGUAGGGGUUCUGAGAGGAAGGUCCCCCACAUUGGAACUGAGACACGGUCCAAACUCCUACGGGAGGCAGCAGUGAGGAAUAUUGGUCAAUGAGCGGAAGCCUGAACCAGCCAAGUAGCGUGCAAGAGGACGGCCCUACGGGUUGUAAACUGCUUUUAUGCGGGGAUAAAGUGAGGGACGCGUCCCUUUUUGCAGGUACCGCAUGAAUAAGGACCGGCUAAUUCCGUG